Molecule: long non-coding RNA, 535 nt
Filed under: Homo sapiens (human)
Lineage: Eukaryota; Metazoa; Chordata; Mammalia; Primates; Hominidae
Description: non-protein coding lnc-OR4N4-1:8
Source: RNAcentral
UAUUAAACUUUAAUGGGUAACUAGUAGACAGUAACACUCUGGGAGGGCUCAAACCACAUAACCAAAUGUGCCAAGAUAAUCCUGAGCUCACUAUUGUCAGUCCUGAAGAUUUUCCUCAGAUAAUCUUUCAUCUCUUUGUUCCUGAGACUAUAUAUUAGAGGAUUACAGAGUGGUGUUAUCACAGAAAAGAACAAGUGGAUUUUUAUCUGAGAUCUACAACUUAUGAAGAAUACAAAUGAUGUAUAUUCUUUUCUACUCUUCAUGUAUGGACUAGAGGGGCUUGCACAGUAGACUCAAGAGAAUUGACAUCUGGUGUUAAAAAACAAAAAAUCAUACAAAUGACUGAUAUGUAUCAUUUUCCUUAUUAAAUAUGGAAGAAAGGGGAGGAGGAUGCAGAAAUGGUUGGCUAAAAGCUCCAGAGAAAAACUUAACAGAUUUUAUGAUUUUGCGGAAGGUAAGUCCUUGACCUCUUCAUUUUCACAUUCAGCAGGCCAGGGAAAUGGAAAGCGAGAACAGAACAGUGAUAAGAGAAUUC